Danionella cerebrum is the source of this 74-nucleotide non-coding RNA. The record is from the annotation of a GenBank genome assembly. Lineage: Eukaryota; Metazoa; Chordata; Actinopteri; Cypriniformes; Danionidae.
GCUUCCUGCGGCUCAAUCCGUAGAGCAUUGUGGUAGCAAAUCAAAGGUUGUGGGUUCAAACCCCAUGGAAAGCA